This 527-nucleotide long non-coding RNA is filed under the name Olea europaea subsp. europaea. Lineage: Eukaryota; Viridiplantae; Streptophyta; Magnoliopsida; Lamiales; Oleaceae. The record is from RNAcentral.
CCCAACUCAGCUCUUCCCGUCCCUCUCUGUCGCCACUAUAUACAUUGUACUGUAUGUAUAUACUUGGAUUUCAAAUUAUUUCCCGUUAAUCUAGUUUUGGCUAUUGAAGUGAUUAACAAAGAACUUUGGAUGAAAAUUCUCUAUCCAUUAACCAAUUCUCAGUUUCGAAGGUACAGCUGUAGGUUGAGGGAGGAAGUGUGGGAAGGAUGUGAUGGUGGCACCCACCAGGAGAGUUAUGUUAAAAUGCAAGUUAGGCGAUGACCGAAAAUUGGUGGGUGGGUGUUUCAAGAUGUGGCUAGGCUGAGAUUUUGUAAAGGAGGUCUCAAUGGCGGCCAAUGGAGAUUUUGUGUUGGGAUGGCCGGUGGGAGAAGGAGAAUCCUUUUUCCUUUUGUUUUCUUUAUUAUUAUUUUAAUUUAAUACAAAAGGUUAGGAUCCUCUCCUUCAGCGAGUGACAUUACCUUGCUGAAUAGCCAAGUCGAUUGUAAUAACUAUGAUGUUAACAACACAAUUUCUUCGCUGUCAAUCAA